ACUUGUUAUUUUCAAUUCUUAUAUUAGAGAUGCAUUUUAAUUCAUGUUAAUGUGAUUGAGCAAACUUUAGAUAGGGUUUAGGGAUAAUAGGUACUUAAUCUAGGAAUCUCUCCAACUAAUUAUCAUGGGAAAAACAUCUAGACUUUUAUAGUCUCUAUUAUUACUUGAACAGACUAUGCACUUGCAAAAUCUCAAUAAAAAAAAACUAGAGAUGAUGACGACAUGUCAUUUAGAGGAGCUGAAUCAAAUUUGUGGGGGUAGCAGGAUUUUAAAGGUCAUAAAUCUAUUGCCACUAAGAGUUCAUCCAUCACACGAAGGAUUCUCUCACCCCUGGUAUGGGCAUUUUCUUUAAUUUUUUUUUGCCCAUUGCUAGCAUUGGAUUCAACCAAUAGGUAACUCAGCUAUAAUCUCUUCUUGUAAUAAUAAAAGGGACCUCAUCAGUUGAAGAACUUUUACCUUACCCUAGUUUUGCUAACCUUUCCUAAAACUCUAUCUUCAAGUUAGACAAGUCUAAACCAAAAGAUAUAGUUAAAAGUUUGAAGAUGUACCAAUGUAGUUAGAAGGAAAGAAGAAGGUAGGGCAAAGAAAGCUAAAAAAAGACUUAAAAUCAUUAAAGAACAAGUAGGCACAAAAGUAAAAAAGUAGGAAGAAUACUAGGAAGUGUGAAAAAGGAAAGGUCUUAGGUAAGCUUUAAAUAGUCAAAUUAUAGAUGCGAUAAGCGAUCCAAAUUAAGCCAUAUCAUUAUACACAAACCAAGGAUGAUGUUUUGGCUUUUUCGUUCAAAUUCAAAAAAUUGCCUAAAAUUUUUAUUUCUCGCCAAAAUUCCUUUUUUCCUCAUUAAAUGCUAAUCCAAUAAAUUAAGAACCAACUUGUUCAAAAGUCGUUAAGUGUUAUGUUUUUCAAAGCAUGUAAGCAACAUAAAUGAGAGUUUCAGGUCAGGAUAUCAACACCACCUAAGCAUAGAGUUUGUAAGAAUCACAUUAGGACUAUCAUAAAGAUGGCUUAUUUACCUUAAUUACAAAAACUUUGAAAAAUUUGAAGGGAAUUAUGUAUCAUUAUCAAAGUUAAAGCAAUGAAAUUUGAAAAAAUUUUAAUCCCCUCAAGCCAAGUUCAAUCAAUAAGAUUAUACGAACAACAAUAUAUAUAUAUAAGCAUGCAUAGUUUCAACUAAAGUGUUACCUUGAAUGCUAAAAAUCUUUUGGUUUAAUUUGGUGAUCUUCCAAAUAGAUUCCAAACCAAAAAGCUAUCCAAGUGUUCAACCUCUAAUGGUGAUCCACACGAACUCUUGUGAAAGAAUCUUCUCUCAGGCUUGGUGAACUAAAACCACAUUAUAACCAGUAAGUGUUUUCAAGACCUCUUAUAUUUUCUUGUGGGAAACUUCUUUUUUUUUAUUACUUGAUUACUUGAUUGAUAUAAGAAAAGGUAACUUGAUGUUUUUUUAUAGGGGAAGCAUUCGACCACAUUAGAUUUAAUACUGGGAAUACAAAUUUUAACAAUUAACCUUAGGUUAGCCAAAUGUGCCAAACAGGAAAAACUCUUUCUCUUGUUUUUUCUUUAUUUCCUCUAUUUUUUGUAAUACCAAAAUCAAAUUAAAUCUAACUUAAUUUGUUCCAGUUUUAAUAUUUCACAAUUAUCUUAUUGUGUAUGAUCUAUUAGGUUUUUUAGUAUGUUAGCAACAAACACAAGUAUUGUAAACCUUAGUAUUUGGCUAUGGAUGAAACAAACUUUGUCUUCAUCACCAAUUCUCCAAUUAGCCAAUAUUAAGUUUGUAGAUCAUGAUCAAUGUUAGCUUUAUUGCCAUGACCCCUAAUUGUUAUAGAAAAGUCAAUAUGGCUUAACAACCUAUCUAUGAAUGGUCGUUGUAUAUAAUUAAUAUCAUUUCAUCACAUAGUAUAUUGGUUUGAAUAUUGAGUAUAGUUUAGUGUCUACUCAAUCUUGUUCAACCAUGUUUAGUUUUGUCCUUAACAUUAACUCACAAAUAAUCUUUAGAAUGAUUCUAAAAUCUUAUUUCACUUUGGCUAAAGAUUUCUCAAGUUAAUUCAAUCAAGAAUAGUUGAGAUACUCUUUUGAUCACACAAGGUGACAAAUCUUAUUUUGAUUACUUCAUGCAUCUUCAUUUGCCUCAUGUUAUACCUAACAAUACUCGGCUGGAGCAUUCAUGGUUAGAAUCAUAAGUAAAGUCAAAGUAUAACAUUCAUCAUAUAAGAUCAUAAGCUAUUUCAAGCCAAAUGAUCAUUUAUACAACCAUCACAUAAAAAUGUAGCUAUGGAUAUUAUGUGAACUACCAUAUAAUAUUCUUAGAUUGGGUUGUGUUUAGUGAACUUGUUCUUGUAACAAGCAACCACAUGUUAACUCAAGUUUACUUGUACUUCAAAAUUUGAGAUCGGUUGCUUACUUCAUAAGUAAGAGUAUAACAAUGUACUAGUCUCAAUAGCUUUUGUCAAUGUCCUUUUAUUAAUAAAGCAUUAACUAAGAACAAUUUUGGAACAUAUUCCUAUUAUGCAAUAAUAAUCUCAUAAUUACAAUCUCAUUGUAAUUUCCUUGUAAAACUUUAUUUAUAUUUUGAGGACUUUAUCGUAUAAGCGUCAACAAUGAAAUUUAUGUGUACAAGCUCAACAACCUAGAAAAAAGAUCUUUUAUAAGAUAUCAAAUAUCAAAGUACUACAAAUAUGAUAAUAUCUUGGCCAAAAUAUGAUUCGACUUGAAGGGUAAAUACUAACAAUUUCCCACUUAAACUGAAGUGAAUUUUUCAUGUAUCUAGUACGUAUAAUACUUCUGUUGGAACAUAGCUUUAGUAAGAAGAUCAGCAAUGUUAUCCUUUGUGGGUAAUCGUUCAAUUUUAAUAUCACCUCUAGAAACAAAGUUUCUAAUGAGAUUAUAUCGCCUUAAUACAUGUUUGGAUCUUUGAUGAGACUUAGUUUCUUGGCUUAAGCAAUAGCUCCAUUGUUGUCAUAAUAGACUAUUAUCAUAUCAAUAAUGCUAGGAAUAACGUUUAGUUCAAUUACAAACUUCUUGAUCCAAACAUUUUUUUUAUAACCUCACAUGUAAAGAUGUAUUUGGCUUAGUUGCAAAGUUUACGGUUGUACUCUGGAACUUUUUCAACUCAUUACUCCACCAUUCAGAGUAAAAACAUAGUUACUUUAUCAUCCUUGUCGAAUUGAAAGCUUGCAUUAUAAUAGCCCUCAACAAGGAAUUUGGCUCCACCAUAAACAAGAAAUAUAUCCUUAGUUCUUCUAAGUAUUUAAGAUUGUUUUUAGUACCUUUUAGUGACAUUCACCUAGAUUUGUUUGAUAUCUACUUACUAUGCUUAAAGCAAAUGAGAUAUCAGGCCUUGUGCAUAUCAUUUUAUACUUAAUGGAUCUAAUUGUCAAAGCAUGUGAAAUUUUAUUCAUACUAUAUUUCUCAAUUUGUGUCGUAGGACUCAUGUCCUUAAAAAGAUUUAUGCCAUGUGACAUUGGCAAGAAUCCCCUUUGGAUCAUUUGAUGCUAAACCUUUUUAACAUUUUUUCUAUUUAUCCAAAUUGUUAGAGACUAAGCAACCACUUUGAUCUAUCUCUAUAUAGCACUAUGAAAACAAUUGCAUUCCCAUUUGUCUUCUUGUAUACACACGGUUCAUAUACAUUUUUUAUGAAUCCAAAUUCUAUAACUACUUCAUUAAAACAUUUAUUCCAAUUCAUUGAUCCUUGUUUAAGUUCAUAGAUAGGCCUUUGAAGCUUACACACAAUGUUGGCAUUAUUUUUGGAUUCAAAACCUUUGGGUCGUGCCAUCUACACAUCUUGCAAAUUCUCAUUAAAGAAUGCCAUUUUGACAUCUAUUUGCCAUAUCUCAUAGUCGCGAGAUACGAUGAUAGCAAGCAAAAUCCUAAUGGAUUUUAACAUGGCUACUGGUGAAAAAGUUUCAUCAAAAUCAACUCAUUGUUUUUAUUAUAACCUUUUACAACUAGCCUGGCUUUGUACAUUUGUAAACUGCCAUUCAUGUCGAUUUUCUUCUUGAUAAUCCACUUGCACACUACUGGUUUUAUCCCUUCAGGUGGUUUUAUCAAAGUCCAUACUUGGUUUACAUACAUGGAUUUCAUUUCGGAUUUCAUGGCCUUAUGCCAUUUCUCAAAAUCAAUGUCCAACACUAUUUCUUGAUAGGUAUUAGGAUCAUCAUCUAUGAUCAACUCAACUUUGUUCACGAGAAAUCCAUAUCUCUUAGAAGCUUGGCAAGUCCUACUUAGCUAUAGAGUUCUUGUGUACUUUGAGCUUUUGGCUAUGUAUCUGAUGCCUUAGCCACUAGUUCAAGUUCCAUCCUUGUGUCGUUUAUGUUUCUUGAACUUUUUCAAGUUCUAUUUUACUUCCACUGUUAUCUUUUUUCAAAAAGAUAGCAUGUUUAGACACAAGCACCUUUUAUUCUUUAGAGUUGUAGAAAUAAUAUCCAAUAGUUUCUUUUGGAUAUCCCACAAAUUUACACAUAACAAAUCUAGCUCCAAGCUUGUCAGCUUGUGCAUGCUUCACAUAAGCAUCACAUCCCCAAAUCCUUAUAUGUGACAAGUUAGGUCUUUGACCUUUCCACAUCUAAUAUGGUGUCUUAUCAACGAAUUUAGAUGGAACUAUAUUUAGAAGAUAAGUAGUUUUUUUUAAAAUGCAUAUAGGAAGAUUUGAAUUGCUCAUCAUGCAUCGAACCGUGUUUAACAAAGUUCUAUUUCUCCUUUAAGAAACUCCAUUGUGUUAUGUUGUUCCAAGUGGAGUCCAUUUUGAAAGAAUCUCAUUCUCUUAUAGAUAAUCUAGAAAAUCAUGGCUUAAUUAUUCGCCACCUUGAUUAGAUCUAAGUAUCAUGAUACUUUUACCAAUUUUCUUUUUGGCCUCCAUUUUAAAUUCUUUGAACUUUUAAAAGGAUUUAGACUUGUGUUUCAUUAAAUACGCUUAAUGAUAUCUUGUAUAAUUAUCAGUGAAUGCUAUGAAAUAGGAGUAUCCUCCUCUAACAUUUAUGUUCAUUGGGCCACAUACAUCCGAAUGUAUUAGUCUUAAAACCAUACUAGCUCUUUCUCUUUUACUAAUAAAAGGUGAUUUGGUCAUCUUUCCAAGCAAAUAUGAUUCACAUGUUCCAUAUGAUUUAUAAUUAAAAAGAUCAAAGUAUCCUUGUAUAUGUAACUUUGUUAUUCUUAUUUCAUUGACAUGAUCGAGCCUCAAUGCCAUAAGUAAGAUUGAUUCGAUUUAUCUAGUUUAGCCUUCUUGACAUUUAUAUUGAGAAUAUUAUUGUUUAAUCUAAGAACAUAUAAGCCAUUAUUAUACAUUCCCAUGCUAUAAAACAUAUCAUUUAAAUAAAAGGAAUAAUAGUUGCCUUUAAUACUAAAUAAGUAUCCAUUGUUCAUACUUAAAUAAGAAACUAAAGUGAUGUUUUAAGUUAUGACGAGAGCAUAAUAACAAUCCUUUACUUCUAAAACUAAACUAGAAGGUAAAGGAAAAUAAUAAAUCCUCAUGGCAUAGACAACUACACUUACGCCAUUUCUAACAUGCAAUAACAUCUCUCUUCUCUUUAGACAUCUAUUUUUUUUUAGUCCCUGAAUAUCAUUACAUAAGUGAAAAUCAUCUUUGAUAUCCAAUACCUAAGAAGAUGUGUCAAUAAGAGAUAGAUUGAUCUCAAUCAUAAACAUGUCUGAAGUAAAAGUCUCUUUAGACUUCAUCUCUUUCAAACUUGCCAAGUAGAUCAUGCAAUUCCUCUUUCAAUGACCUUUUUCACCACAAUGGUGACUUGUACCAUUAUCCCUCUUGAUGUUGCUACUAGGCUUGAUAGCCUUGUUUACAUCCCUUUUCUUA
This 5797-nucleotide long non-coding RNA is filed under the name Durio zibethinus. RNAcentral describes it as "long non-coding RNA (DZIB_LNC001110)". Lineage: Eukaryota; Viridiplantae; Streptophyta; Magnoliopsida; Malvales; Malvaceae. The record is from RNAcentral.